Molecule: ribosomal RNA, 564 nt
Filed under: uncultured Glomeromycotina
Lineage: Eukaryota; Fungi; Glomeromycota
Description: SSU rRNA
Rfam family: Eukaryotic small subunit ribosomal RNA
Source: RNAcentral
UUGGAGGGCAAGUCUGGUGCCAGCAGCCGCGGUAAUUCCAGCUCCAAUAGCGUAUAUUAAAGUUGUUGCAGUUAAAAAGCUCGUAGUUGAAUUUCGGGAUCAAUAUAUCGGUCAUGCUUAGGUAUGUACUGGUAUUAUUGGUUUCUCCCUUCUGAAGAACCUUGAUGUCAUUAAUUUGGUGUCUUGGGGAAUCAGGACUGUUACUUUGAAAAAAUUAGAGUGUCUAAAGCAGGCAUACGCUUGAAUACAUUAGCAUGGAAUAAUGAAAUAGGACGUUUGAUUCUAUUUUGUUGGUUUCUAGGAUCGACGUAAUGAUUAAUAGGGAUAGUUGGGGGCAUUAGUAUUCAAUUGUCAGAGGUGAAAUUCUUGGAUUUAUUGAAGACUAACUACUGCGAAAGCAUUUGCCAAGGAUGUUUUCAUUAAUCGAGAACGAAAGUUAGGGGAUCGAAGACGAUCAGAUACCGUCGUAGUCCUAACCAUAAACUAUGCCGACUAGGGAUCGGAUGAUGUUAAUUUUUUAAUGACUCAUUCGGCGCCUUACGGGAAACCAAAGUGUUUGGGUUC